AUGCACGCUGGCGGCGUGCCUAAUACAUGCAAGUAGAACGCUGAAGGCAGGAGCUUGCUCUUUCCGGAUGAGUUGCGAACGGGUGAGUAACGCGUAGGUAACCUGCCUGGUAGCGGGGGAUAACUAUUGGAAACGAUAGCUAAUACCGCAUAACAGUAGAUGUUGCCUGAUAUCUACUUAAAAGGUGCAAUUGCACCACUACCAGAUGGACCUGCGUUGUAUUAGCUAGUUGGUGAGGUAACGGCUCACCAAGGCGACGAUACAUAGCCGACCUGAGAGGGUGAUCGGCCACACUGGGACUGAGACACGGCCCAGACUCCUACGGGAGGCAGCAGUAGGGAAUCUUCGGCAAUGGACGGAAGUCUGACCGAGCAACGCCGCGUGAGUGAAGAAGGUUGUCGGAUCGUAAAGCUCUGUUGUAAGAGAAGAACGAGUGUGAGAGUGGAAAGUUCACACUGUGACGGUAUCUUACCAGAAAGGGACGGCUAACUACGUG
RNAcentral lists this ribosomal RNA (496 nucleotides) under uncultured bacterium. RNAcentral describes it as "partial 16S ribosomal RNA". It matches the Rfam family "Bacterial small subunit ribosomal RNA", at positions 29 to 507 of the family's 1533-position model. The record is from RNAcentral.